This is a long non-coding RNA of Mizuhopecten yessoensis (Yesso scallop), 398 nucleotides long. RefSeq lists it as uncharacterized. The record is from RefSeq and is a predicted model, not a curated record. NCBI's taxonomy places the organism in Eukaryota, Metazoa, Mollusca, Bivalvia, Pectinida, Pectinidae. The transcript has 3 exons.
GCGGUUUAGAGAUGAAGGAAAGGUUGCACAUCCGUGUCAGAUUCCCUCAAAUGGUGCACCUUUCAUGAUAGUUGUUCUAAAGCUGAUGGAAUGUCAUCAAGGACCGCAAUAUAGGACCAAAAAUCAAAAGACACCAGUCACUCCACAACAGAACAUGGCUAUAGCUUAGCAUCAAGCAGGAAGAGGCCGACAGGCACAAAGAAAAAAGGAUGUCCUGCGGCCAUAGUAAUGAGGGAAGUCAUUCACUUUGAUGAGUACAAGGUUCCACAUGACACACGAUAUUGGCGAGAAGUGAAGUCAAUGAAACUUAGAAACGACCUUCAUUCUACAGUCUAUCAGCAGGUAGAACAGCGGAAAGUCAUUUAUAUUGAUCUGCCAAAGGAACAUCAAAAUCAUAC